Trichomycterus rosablanca is the source of this 427-nucleotide long non-coding RNA. RefSeq lists it as uncharacterized. The transcript has 3 exons. The record is from RefSeq and is a predicted model, not a curated record. NCBI's taxonomy places the organism in Eukaryota, Metazoa, Chordata, Actinopteri, Siluriformes, Trichomycteridae.
UGAGAGAUUUUGCAACGUGCUGCAGACCAGCUGAGCAAUAUUCGAAUUCCAGCUGUGAACGUGAGGGAGGCAGUUUUCUGUCAAGUAAUAAGUGUUUGAAACUCCGAUUGGUUUUUCUUAGAGACACAGAAAGACUCGGAGGAUUGUGAUGGCGAGCCCAGCCCUGUGAACUGCUGACGGUCAAAGAAGCGGUGUGGCCUACCGUUAAGACCGUUUACAGGAGACAGCGGAUUUAUCAGAGUUUUGCCCAGCAUCAGAUAAGAACUUACUUACACUAAUUACUCUACCCGGGUAGAACAGCCAUAGGAAACACCUUUAAUUUACAUUCAAGGACUAGAACUGAACUUUGGAAUCCAUACCUCUUUAAAUAUAAGGAGUGGUAUUGAAUUGAAGAUCUCUUGCACUUAACAUAAUUUUUAUUUUUAAG